RNAcentral lists this long non-coding RNA (525 nucleotides) under Homo sapiens (human). RNAcentral's name for it is "HSALNT0361976". The record is from RNAcentral. Lineage: Eukaryota; Metazoa; Chordata; Mammalia; Primates; Hominidae.
CCUGUUCCCAACAAUGGGGAUCUUGGAGAAACUCGAGGGAAGGUACAUGAUGUGUUGACCUUCACUUAAUGUGUUUGAAUAUGUCAUCCCACUGCCUUUGGCCUUCAUAGCUUCUGGCCCAGGAAAGGGAAGAAUUACAUGAAGACACAUGGAGAGGGGAGCCAAGGGGAGAGGUUCAGAAGAAACAAAGCCUGCUGAUAUCUUGAUCUUGGGGUCUAACCUCCAGAACGGUGAUGAAAUGUCUGUUAUUUAAGCCAUUCGGUCUGUGGUAUUGGUGACAACAGUCUAAGCAGACUAAUGCAAGCCCUGACACAGACUUUAUGCAAUUUAAUUCUCUUUUCUCAGUCAUGAUUUUCUCCUCUGUAAUAAGCUCUAAUUAUCAGUGAUGAAAAUUAAAUGUGUAAAUGUGUACAUUAUUGUUUAAAGACAAGUAAAGAAAACCAACACCCUUGUUUUUGUUUAACGGAUCUACCUAUUUUUAGGAAAUGUUUAAGCAGAUGUGGAUUUUUUUUUUAACACAAUAAA